ACAGAAGAUACAGUGACAACAACAACAGGCCUAGUAGAGUCUGCUACUACACCCAAAGUUUCAAUAUUUGUACCAGUGACAUCAUCAUUGCCAGCAACUGCAUUGGGCACAACCACCGCUGCAACUGUUAGCAAUGAAUUGGAAACAAUCAGGAUAACUACAACAGAAGAUACAGUGACAAAAACAACAGGCCUAGUAAAGUCUGCUACUACACCCAAAUAUUCUACUUUUGUACCAGUGACAUCAGCAUUGCCAGCAACUGCAUUGGGUACAACCACAGCAGCAACUGUUAGCAAUGAACCAGAAACAUUCAGAAUAACUACAACAGAAGAAACAAUGACAACAACAACAGGUCUAGUAGAGUCUGCUAUUACACCCAAAGAUUCUAAAUUUGUAUCAGUAACAUCAACAUUACCACCAACUGCAUUGGACACAACCAGAUCAGCAACUGUUAGAGAAGAACCAGAAUCAACCACAACUACUCAAGCUAAGGUUUUGUCUACUGUAUUACAUUCUGUGGCAGUAGAUACAGCCACAACAGCAGUCCUUGAAGAGUCUGCUACUGCACCCAAAACUUCAACCUUGGUACCAGUGACAUCUCAAGUCACAACAGAACCCUCACCAGCCCAAAACGAAACUACAACAUUAAUGUCAGUGAAGCCAGUAACAGUGGCUCAUACCUUAGAAGUUUCCAACACUGCCAAAAGUGUGACACAAGAACCUAAAACACAUGCUGACAGUGGUUCUUCAUCAGCAGGAAUAAGUACAUUAAGAGAAUCUGGUAUAACAGAAUCAACAUUUGCUCCAACUACAACAGCACAAAUAACAGAGGCAUCAUCACCUUUAACUGAAGCAAGUGAAGUAAAGACAACAACUGCAAGAACAUCCAGAUCUACAGAAUCAUCAGCGGAAACCCAAAUAACAAGUGCAACCAUUGCACCAUCAGCAGGAGUGACAUCAGCAUUGCCAGCAACUGCAGCAGGGACAACCACAGCAGCAACUGUUAGAAAUGAACCGGAAACAAUCAGGACAACUUCAACAGAAGAUACAGUGAUAACAACAGGCCUAGUAGAGUCUGCUACUACACUCAAAGCUUCAACCUUUGUACCAGUGACAUCAGCUUUUCCAGCAACUGAAUUGGGCACAACCACAUCAGCAACUGUUAGCAAUGAACUGGAAACAAUCAGGAUAACUACAACAGAAGAUACAGUGACAACAACAGGCCUAGUAGAGUCUGCUACUACACUCAAAGCUUCAACCUUGGUACAGGUGACAUCAGCAUUGCCAGCAACUGCAUCGAGCACGACCACAGCAGCAACCGUUAGCAAUGAACCAGAAUCAACCAAGACUACACUAGCUCAAGUUUCAUCUACUGUGAUACAUUCUGUGGCAGUAGGUACAGUUACAACAACAACAUCAACAACAAGCUUUGUAAAGUCUGCUACUGCACCAAAAGCUUCAACCUUUGUACCAGUGACACCAGCAUUGCCAGCAACUGCAUCAAGGACAACAGCAGCAGCAACUGUUAGAAAUAAACCAGAAUCAACCAAGACUACACUAGCUAAGGGUUCAUCUACUGUAUUAAAUUCUACAACAGUAUAUACAACAACGUUGACAACAACAACAACACUAACGUCAGUAAAGCCAGUAACAGAGGCUCAUACCUCAUAUGUGUCCACUGUAGCACCAACAACAGAGGGCACAAAUACUGAUCCUCCUACCCUUGACGAGGGAAGCAUAUACUUAAGAUUCAGUCUAAAUGAAACUUUCAGUGAAAUAUAUAACAACCACUCAUCCCCUGAAUUCAUUGCAUUGGCAUCCCAUGUGGUAACUGUGAUAAACAGAAUUUACAGGGCAAGCAAUCUCAGAGGAUACAGGCGAUGCAGAGUCAACUCUUUCGUGAGGGGCUCCAUUAAAGUUGAUAUGACUCUUAUCUUUGAGAAUUCUUCUACAGUCCCAAGCUCAUUUAAGGUAGAGGAAAUUCUUAAUGGGACCGCUGUGAAUGGUACCAUACUUUUGGACAUCAUACUUGAUACUAUCAAAGCAGGGGAAGUAGUUACUUCUAGUACACCACCGCCUGCCACAAAUGCAACUUUUGAAUCUACCACCACGAAAUCGAGUACCAAUGAGUACUCAAUCACCACGUCUGGUGCCUUUCCAUGGAUGGUACGCUGUUCACUAAUGACUAUAUCUCCAGC
This is a long non-coding RNA of Sinocyclocheilus grahami, 2198 nucleotides long. Ensembl annotates it as mucin-5AC-like. The record is from Ensembl. NCBI's taxonomy places the organism in Eukaryota, Metazoa, Chordata, Actinopteri, Cypriniformes, Cyprinidae.